CAAUAGCGUAUAUUUAAGUUGUUGCAGUUAAAAAGCUCGUAGUUGGAUUUCUGGUCGGAAGCUCUUGUCCUCUGAUGAGCGUACAAGUGCGUCCUACCAUCCUUCUGUUAACCUUUAAGGCUUUCGCGGCUUUCUAGGGGCUCAGAUAUUUUACCUUGAGAAAAUUAGAGUGUUUCAGGCAGGCUAGCGCCGGAAUACAUUAGCAUGGAAUAAUGGAAUAGGACUUUUGCCUCUUCUGUUGGUCAUGAGGCUCGAGUAAUGAUUAAUAGGGAUAGUUGGGGGCAUUAGUACUUAACUGUCAGAGGUGAAAUUCUCGGAUUUGUUAAAGACUAACUUAUGCGAAAGCAUUUGCCAAGGAUGUUUNCAUUG
Molecule: ribosomal RNA, 369 nt
Filed under: uncultured eukaryote
Lineage: Eukaryota
Description: partial 18S ribosomal RNA
Rfam family: Eukaryotic small subunit ribosomal RNA
Source: RNAcentral